CCAAGGAGUCUAUCAUAUGUGCGAGUCAUUGGGUGAACUAAACCCACAGGCGCAAUGAAAGUGAUUUGGGCAGAUCCUACCCGUUGUGCUCCUUUGAGUAUGGGUCAGGCGCAUGCCCGGGACUCUCAGUCUACCCUUUUGCGGUAGGAGAGUACCUUGAGCAGAUGUGAUAGUACCCGAAAGAUGGUGAACUAUGCCUGGCCAGAACGAAGCCAGAGGAAACUCUGGUGGAGGUUCGUAGCAAUUCUGACGUGCAAAUCGAUUGUCAGAGCUGGGUAUAGGGGCGAAAGACUAAUCGAACCAUCUAGUAGCUGGUUCCCUCCGAAGUUUCCCUUAGGAUAGCUGGAGCCCGGAGAAAUGAAAUUAUCGUUUUACGAAGUUUCAUCCGGUAAAGCAAAUGAUUGGAGGAAUUGGGAACGAAAAGUUCUCAACCUACUCUCAAACUUUAAAUGGGUGAGAGGCAGUGCUUUCUUAAUUGAAGCAACUGCAUUGAAUUCGAGCUCCAAGUGGGCCAUUUUUGGUAAGCAGAACUGGCGCUGUGGGAUGAACCAAACGCAGUGUUAAGGUGCCUAAUCGAAUGCUAAUUCUUAGAUAUCAUGAAAGGCGUUGGUUGCUAUAGACAGCAGGACGGUGGCCAUGGAAGUCGGAAUCCGCUAAGGAGUGUGUAACAACUCACCUGCCGAAGCAACCAGCCCUGAAAAUGGAUGGCGCCAAAGCAUUCAACCGAUACACUGCCGUCGGUGGCAUUAAGGAAGCAAUGCUUUGUUUCUCGAAGCCCCGACGAGUAGGAGGUGCGCUGCGGUGUGCGUUGAAGGUACUGGCGUGAGCUGGACUGGAGCCGCCGCUGGUGAAUAUCUUGGUGGAAGUAGCAAGUAUACAAGAGCAUACCUUGUGGCCUGACGUGGAGAAGGCUUCCAUGUGAAUAUCAGUUAGACAUGGGUGAGUCGGUCCUAAGUCCAAUGGCGCAAGCCACUUCUUCAUUGAUUGGGUGACUAAAUGAAAUUAACUUGACAUGCCACUGGAGUGUCACGAUACGAAUAUUAAUAACCCGCAGUAUACUCUUUGUUGUAAAAAAUAAAAAGGAGAGAGGAGGAGGAGGAGGAGGAGGAGGAUGAUAAGAAGUUUGNGUUNCUUNCUUCCUUCCUUCCUUCCUUCCUUCCUUUCUUUCUUUUUAUAUCAGAUACUUGCGGGAGUUACUAUUCAUACGGCUUCAGGCUCGGUUCCUUGAAUCGCACGCACUAAGCCAAGCACCCAGGAAGGAGUUUUGGACGAAAGGGGAUACGGUCAAAAUUCCGUAACAAGAUCCGGAUGAGCUGCUGGGGCUUUAAUUGCCCUCGAUGUCCAAUCUUGGGCAUGGCAGGUCCCGACCGCCCGGUAACGGGAGUAGACCCUCAGACGCCGGCGACCGUUGCAGAAAGAGUUUUCUUUUCUGUUUAAGACGGCGUGACCCUGGAAGCAAUUUGCUCGGAGAAAGGGUAGUUUUCGCCGUACAGCAUCGCGAUUUUCGUGAUGUCUGCAGCGCUGUCAGUUGGCCCUUGAAAAUGAGGUGCAGGGACAUGUCUCAUUCAAAAUGGACGAGCUAACCACUCUCCUCGAGAACAUAUAUUAUUCUCGGAUCAUUGCCGUACCAGAAACCGACAUCAGGUUCCCAAGGUGCGCAGUCCU
RNAcentral lists this ribosomal RNA (1665 nucleotides) under Paranebalia longipes. RNAcentral's name for it is "eukaryotic LSU rRNA". It matches the Rfam family "Eukaryotic large subunit ribosomal RNA", at positions 666 to 1882 of the family's 3401-position model. The record is from RNAcentral. Lineage: Eukaryota; Metazoa; Arthropoda; Malacostraca; Leptostraca; Paranebaliidae.